This is a long non-coding RNA of Astyanax mexicanus (Mexican tetra), 727 nucleotides long. RefSeq lists it as uncharacterized. NCBI's taxonomy places the organism in Eukaryota, Metazoa, Chordata, Actinopteri, Characiformes, Acestrorhamphidae. The transcript has 2 exons. The record is from RefSeq and is a predicted model, not a curated record.
UCAGACCUCAAAUAAUGCAAAGAAAACAAGUUCAUAUUCAUAAAGUUUUAGGAUUUCAGAAAUCAAUAUUUGGUAGAAUAACCCUGGUGGUUUUUAAUCACAGUUUUCAUGCAUCUUGGCAUCAUGUUCUCUUCCUCCACCAGUCUUACACACUGCUUUUGGAUAACUUUAUGCUGCUUUACUCCUGGAGCGAAAAUUCAAGCAGUUCAGUUUGGUGGUUUGAUGGUUUGUGAUCAUCCAUCUUCCUCUUGAUUAUAUUCCAGAGGUUUUUAAUUUGGUAAAAUCAAAGAAACUCAUCAUUUUUAAGUGCUCUCUUAUUUUUAUGUGCCUCCCCCUUUAUUUUUGCUCUUAUUUUAUUGGUUCAGCAUGGCUUAGCUUAGCUCCUCUUUGCAUGAAGUCCAGACUCUGCAUUUCUGACUCUUGUUACUUUCACUCAGACUUCACGUCAGCACAGAUCUGCAGACGGUCCUGAUCGAUUGGGAUUAUAAUAAUGUCAAAUAUUCACACUAAACAAGAAGCUAUAUGCAUUUCUAUCGAGUCUGUGCUACAAAAAUAAGAAAAGAAAUAAAAGAAAAUGUUUAUAAUUUUGAGUGAUUUACGAAGGGUCUUGCUGGAUUAUGAUUUCUGCUGUGCAGCAAAUGGUUUUAAGGCAGCCAUUGAAUACAUGUAUUAUUGUACCUGUUUUGUGUUUUCAUUGUAGGAGAAUCAAUAAAUUUGUUCAAAGUUG